AUUGAACGCUGGCGGCAUGCUUUACACAUGCAAGUCGAACGGCAGCGCGGGCUUCGGCCUGGCGGCGAGUGGCGAACGGGUGAGUAAUACAUCGGAACGUGCCCAGUAGUGGGGGAUAGCUCGGCGAAAGCCGGAUUAAUACCGCAUACGACCUGAGGGUGAAAGCGGGGGAUCUUCGGACCUCGCGCUAUUGGAGCGGCCGAUGGCAGAUUAGCUAGUUGGUGGGGUAAAGGCCUACCAAGGCGACGAUCUGUAGCUGGUCUGAGAGGACGACCAGCCACCUGGGAACUGAGACAGGGCCCAAACCCCACGGGGAGGCAGCGGUGGGGAUUUUGGGACAAGGGGCGAAAGCCUGAUCCCGCAAGGCCGGGUGUGUGAUGAAGGCCUUCGGGUUGUAAAGCACUUUUGGCGGGAACGAAAAGGACUGGGCCAAUACCACGGUUCGAUGACGGUCCCCGCAGAAUAAGCACCGGCUAACUACGU
This 483-nucleotide ribosomal RNA is filed under the name uncultured bacterium. RNAcentral's name for it is "partial 16S ribosomal RNA". It matches the Rfam family "Bacterial small subunit ribosomal RNA", at positions 29 to 506 of the family's 1533-position model. The record is from RNAcentral.